CAAGGCUUGACAUGCAGGGCUAAUCCGGCAGAGAUGUCGGGUCCGCAAGGGAUCUUGCACAGGUGGUGCAUGGUUGUCGUCAGCUCGUGUCGUGAGAUGUUGGGUUAAGUCCCGCAACGAUCGCAACCCUCGUCCUAUGUUGCCAGCACGUCAUGGUGGGGACUCAUAGGAGACUGCCGGGGUCAACUCGGAGGAAGGUGGGGAUGACGUCAAAUCAUCAUGCCCCUUAUGUCUUGGGCUUCACGCAUGCUACAAUGGCCAGUACAAAGGGCUGCGAGACCGUGAGGUGGAGCGAAUCCCAAAAAGCUGGUCUCAGUUCGGAUCGGGGUCUGCAACUCGACCCCGUGAAGUCGGAGUCGCUAGUAAUCGCAGAUCAGCAACGCUGCGGUGAAUACGUUCCC
RNAcentral lists this ribosomal RNA (401 nucleotides) under uncultured bacterium. Its description in RNAcentral is "bacterial SSU rRNA". It matches the Rfam family "Bacterial small subunit ribosomal RNA", at positions 975 to 1375 of the family's 1533-position model. The record is from RNAcentral.